RNAcentral lists this long non-coding RNA (215 nucleotides) under Linum usitatissimum (flax). RNAcentral describes it as "long non-coding RNA (LUSI_LNC008099)". Lineage: Eukaryota; Viridiplantae; Streptophyta; Magnoliopsida; Malpighiales; Linaceae. The record is from RNAcentral.
GGCGGCAAAUCUGUAAUGCCUCUUCCCAUGAGUCUUGGCAAGAUUGGAAAUUAAAAAAGUUGGGAGUGAAGAAAGGCUCGGUUAUUGAGAUCCUUUGGAAUGUCAGAGCAAUCCUUUUGUUUCAAGACCCUGGCGUCUUGAACAUAUGUGGCUCGAGCAUGAAAUUUUUCCCUAUGUUGGAAGAGUUUUGGAGGCAUGAUGGUAUCGGCAGAGGG